AAGGAUUGGGGAUCUCUCUCUCUCUCUCUCUCUCUCUCUCUCUCUCUCUCUCUCUCUCUCUUUCUCACACACAGAGAGAGAGAGAGAGAGAGAGAGAGCGAGCGAGAGAGAGAGAGCGCUCUCAAGU
RNAcentral lists this microRNA precursor (127 nucleotides) under Marmota monax (woodchuck). Lineage: Eukaryota; Metazoa; Chordata; Mammalia; Rodentia; Sciuridae. The record is from RNAcentral.